This is a long non-coding RNA of Cairina moschata (Muscovy duck), 2810 nucleotides long. Lineage: Eukaryota; Metazoa; Chordata; Aves; Anseriformes; Anatidae. The record is from Ensembl.
CUAUAUUUACUGACAAGCUGGGAUAUGCACAUGCUCAAGAAUAAGAAAUCAGACCUACCAGGGUCCUUUCAUUAAAGCAAGAGAGAAGAUAGACAUGCUUUAUCUCUGGGGUUCCUUCUCCUGUGCUGUGAUCAGAAGGAGAAGCACUGAACAAGGACAGUCCUAGGACAACUUUUCCAAACGAAAUGAACCUUUCUUUUCUCUUUCUCUGAACAGCUUGCCUGAGGAAGGGAGAGACACGCAAAUUCAGAUGUUUCCCAAGCUUUUGGCUUUGCAUAGUUUCACAUUUACCUGGCAGCCUCCAAAUUUAGCCAUAUAUGAACAGCUAAUGAAAUUGCAAUAUUUAAUCCUGUCUUUUCUCCAUCAUGUGUAGAAUUUACCUUUACCUUUACCUGCUGUAAAUUCUAUUUACAUUUUAAACAGGCAGUGAGAAGGUGGAAAAUGGAGCAAAGGAGCAGACCACAAAAACUACAAGGAAAUGAAAGAGAAAAGUGAUCCUGCAUGGUGUGGAAGAGCAGAAUUUGUUAUUAUUUGUUGUACUGCCUGCUGCAUAAUAACAAACCAGGCUUUGAGUCAACUUGCGAGGAUUGCUGCAGCUCCAUUGUGAUCCUGGGAGCCUCCCAUACAAACCUACUUCUGAAUUUCCCCAUGAAGAACUGACGGAGGAGCAGACUUCUUCCCUCCUUUUCACAGCUGGUAUUUUUUGCUGAGGGGUGUCUGCAUGUGUUUGUGUGUGGUGGCUGCCUCAUCUCCUGAAAUAGAAUAAUAAACGCAUCAGUCCAUAGAUGGAGACAAGCAGGGAAUAGCCCUGCUGCUGUCUCUUUGUCCUAUUUAAUUAAUGCUCGCUGCAUUAAUUAAACUUCAUGUAGGAAAAAUAACGUGUUAACAGUACUAAAACAGCACUAAUAGAUGAUCUGGCCAAUUCCUUUAGUGGCAAAGUAUAAAUUUUAAGUGUUUCUCUUCAUUAAGAGAUCUUCAAGACUGCAAUGCUGUAGAUUGCUGUUCCAGGACACUUGAGAUUAUGCCCUAACAGCAGAUUUCACACUGAAAUGAGUGACAAUUUAGUACUUACAUGAACUUGCAACUUUAAAUGGUUAUGUACUACACAUAGUGACUAGCUACUGCUCUUGCUUCAUCAUUCCCAGGCUGACACUAUAAUGGCAGGCUGUCAUUUUCCCGGCUGUUGGCAGCAGGAUAGAGUGCUUAGGAGUGUGCCUUUGUGGUGCUGACAGCUGUGAAGCACAGGAAAAAGGCUAAAAACAAACCACAUUUGAACUGUAACCAUGCUGUACCUAACAGAACUGGAAACUUGGUUUUCUUCAGCAAUGUUUGCAGCUGACUCACCUUCAAAUGUGAUUUUUGUUCAACCAGAAACCCAGCUAUUUCCUGAAUUUUAAGCUGAAAUAUCUACAUGGUAUCAUAGAAGAGAAUUAGUCUGACAUCACUAAAUUCCAAACCAAAGCACACCUUUGAAGAUGUGAAAUUGCCAGAGAAAAUGCAAAACUUUUUCUAAAACAUUUGCGGUUAAUUGUCUCUUACUGUUGGAACAUCUCAGACUUUUUUUCUAAUGCUCUUGAGAUUGAAAUGGGGGGAGAAAAAAAGGAAAAAAAAAAAAAAAGAAAAAGAAACAAAUGAAAAUGAAAGCUCCAAGGUUUGGUGCUUUCAGAAAAAUGUCACUCUUGGGUGAAAUUGCAAGUGUCAGCAAAACUGUCAAGGACUGGUGGAAUCCAUAACAUCCAUAAUUAGUGUUGCAUUAAGUGGAUGCUGAUCUCAGCUCCAGUCCUUAAAGUGAAAGUAACUCCUUUGAUUUCAGUAGAGUUACUGAAGAUAAUAUUAACUAUAAAUGAGAUCAUACUCACGGAGAAGCAGUAAUAUUUGUCACUUCUGUAUCUUGUACUUAGAAUGAGAGAGAUCUUUGAAAUAACAUUGCCCAGAAGAAAAACCAUCCAGGCGUUUGUUCCCAUUUAUUCAUCCUCUGCAGGCAAAUGUACAGGCAAGACAGAAACAAAGACAGUGAAUGAACUGCAAGAAAGCAUCAGAGCGUAAUCUCAGGACUUUUUAUCCUAGGGAAUUCCCAAAUAGAAGUACAUCUUAAAGAGCUGUGAUUCUUGCAGUUCUUGCAGCUGGCAUGAUUUUUAAACUACUUCUCUUGCUCUGCUGGCCGUUCAUCUAAUGUAAGCCAGGAGGGGGUUUGCUUUAUUUGUAAUGAAAGCACGCUGCCAAUUUAUCACCCCAAGGCCUUUCCAGUCAGGGCUGCUGGUGGUAGGAGGGCUCAGAGCUUCCAGUUCACUGCUCUAACCCCUCCACCGGGCUCAGCUGCCCUGGACUUUUGGCCAACAGCUUUCCAAGGAGAUCUCUGAUAAUUUGCAUGGGGCUCAUCUUGUCAGCUCAUCAGCAUUAAGCUGAUCUCCACGCUCAAACCCUUGCCCUGUGGGAAUCACCCUGAAGAUCACAGACAUCAGGGAAAGUGAUGUCUUUUUUUUUUGUUGUUUUUCUAUUUUUUUUUUUCUAAAAAGAAAAUUGACCUUUUCUAAGGGAAAAUUUUGAGGCUUCUUUUUAAAACUGUAUAUAGAAUAAGCCUUGGAGCUGGAAAAAUGUUUCUCUUUCCUUUUUUCUUUCUUUUUUCUUUUUUUUUCUUUCACUGCAGAUAUUAAGACUGAUUCAGUGGUGUCAGAACAGGGCCAGGGUCACUGAGUCGUUUGCAACACAAACUAAAGUUUAAGGUAGUUGAAUUUAAUUUUUAAUGUAUCUGAGCAAUGUUGUAAUGAGACUCCCGUGUAAGAAAUGUCAGCGUGCAACAUUAAAAGGUG